This 1497-nucleotide long non-coding RNA is filed under the name Canis lupus familiaris (dog). RNAcentral describes it as "lncRNA (ENSCAFG00845004691.1)". Lineage: Eukaryota; Metazoa; Chordata; Mammalia; Carnivora; Canidae. The record is from RNAcentral.
CGGAGGAGGAGCCGUGUGCCCUGGCACCGAGCGGCCGUGGCCGUGGCGUACGCCUAUCUCUUCAGGUACAUCAUCAUCGGCGACACAGGUGUUGGUAAAUCAUGCUUAUUGCUACAGUUUACAGACAAGAGGUUUCAGCCAGUGCAUGACCUGACUAUCGGUGUAGAGUUUGGUGCUCGAAUGAUAACUAUUGAUGGGAAACAGAUAAAACUUCAGAUAUGGGAUACGGCAUUUAUUAAUACAGCAAAAGAAAUUUAUGAGAAAAUCCGAGAAGGAGUCUUUGACAUUAAUAAUGAGGCAAACGGCAUUAAAAUUGGCCCUCAGCACGCUGCUACUAAUGCCACACACGCGGGCAAUCAGGGAGGACAGCAGGCCGGGGGAGGCUGCUGUUGAGUCCGUUUUUACCGUCUCGCUGCCCAAAUGUGGCUCCUCACUUCCUCUUUCACUCUCCUGCUCAGCUGAGACAUGAAACUAUUUGAAAUGGCUUUAUGUCACAGGAGACUCUAAUCCUUCGAAAUUCUUGUAUAACUUUGAAUAAAUGGUUAAUGUUCACUUAAAAAAGACAGAUUUUGGAGAUUGUAUUCAUAUCUAUUUGCAUUUGAUUUCUAGGUCAAUUGAUGUGAUUAUUUUUGUUGAAUGUUGUCUUGUGCCCUUACCUACGAACUGAACUGUAUUAAACACUACAAAGUCAUCUUGAGUAUUUUAAAUCAGUUUGUGUGGUUAGGUUUCCCGACACCUGUGGACCUAAUGUUUAAUAUUCUAGAACUGUCCUCAAAAAGUUUGUCAGUUUUCAAGGCUAUAAGGAAAACCAGAAGGACUCUUUUAAUUCUGUAUUUAUCAUUUACUUUCUGUAUAUACAGUUUUAACCUGCUUGGGUGUGUAAUUGCCAAGCUUGAAUUCUUUAAUGCAUUUGCAUAAAUUCUAUACUGUUUAGAGCUUAAAGCUACAGAAGCAUUGUUAGGAAUUGCUUGGACACUGAAUUUUAAACUUUUUGACAUUGUUAACAAGCAUGUUCAUCUUUUCUUGUCACUAGUCCAAGAAAAUAUGCUUAAUGUACAUUACUAAAGGCUAUGUAUGUGUUAACCUGUUUUAAUGCCAAAAGUUUGCUAUAUGUCCACAGUUUCUUUAAGACCUCCUCAGAAAAGGAUUUGUUUGCCUUAAUGAAUACUGUUGGGUAGAAACACAGUAUAAUGAGUGAAAUGGGCAGAAGCAAGAACUCCCUACACCUAAGCGACUCCAAGAAGAAUGAAUGUCCACAUUUAGAUGGCACAUUAUGAGGACUUUAAUCUUUCCUUAAACACAAUAAUGUUUUCUUUUGCUUUUAUUCACAUGAUUUCUAAGUAUAUUUUUCAUGCAGGACAGUUUUUCAACCUUGAUGUACAGUGACUGUGUAAAAUUUUUCUUUCAGUGGCAACCUAUAAUCUUUAAAAUAUGGUAAGCAUCUUGUCUGUUUUGAAGGGGAUAUGACAAUAAAUCUACCAGAUGGAAAAUCCUGUC